UGGCCACGCCCGUGCCGCGCGCGCUGCCCCUCGGCAACCCGCACAACACAACAAAAUGGCUGCCGCGCUGCUGGGCGCCUAAAGGGAACGACGAACUCGUCUCUUGCCCUUCUUGACCAGCCCGGUUGCUCGCCCGGGCUCCUAGGCGGUUUUGAUGGGCAUCUGGCUUUAUUCUUGCAAUGAAGAAAGGUCCUCAACAAAGAAUAUUCUCCAACGCAAGGAAACCACCAUCAUCUCACUCUCCUAGUCCAUCGUCUCUUAUGUCCAAUAUGAGAUCUAGGUCACUUUCACCUUUAGGUGGACCAGAGACUCUGCCUUUUCAUUCUGGAGGACAAUGGUGUGAGCAAGUUGAGAUUACAGAGGAAAGCAGUAUGCCUUUAGACUACCACGACCAUAAAGAAGCUGAUUCACAUCCAGGAGUCCGAUAUAUUACUGAGGCCCUUAUUAAAAAGCUUACUAAACAGGACAACUUGGCCUUGGUAAAAUCUCUGAACCUUUCACUUUGUAAAGAUGGUGGCAAGAAAUUUAGGUAUAUCGAAAAUUUGGAAAAAUGUGUUCAACUUGAAGUACUGAAUCUCAGCUAUAAUCUCAUUGGGAAGAUUGAGAAGGUGGAUAAGCUAUUAAAAUUACGUGAACUCAAUUUAUCAUACAACAAAAUCAGCAAAAUUGAAGGCAUAGAAAAUAUGUGUAAUCUGCAAAAGCUCAACCUUGCAGGAAAUGAAAUUGAACAUAUUCCAGUAUGGUUAGGGAAGAAGUUAAAAUCUUUACGGGUCCUCAAUCUGAAAGGCAACAAGAUAUCAUCGCUCCAGAAUGUAAGCAAGUUGAAACCACUUCAAGAUUUAACUUCUGUGAUCCUAGUUGAAAAUCCAAUUGUGGCUCUUCCUCAUUACCGGCAGUUUACCAUUUUCCACCUCCGUUCACUGGAAAGUUUGGAAGGUCAGCCAGUAACCACUCAGGACAGACAGGAGGCUUUUGAGAGAUUUAGUUUAGAAGAGGUAGAAAGACUAGAAAGAGACUUGGAAAAGAAGGUGAUGGAAACUGAAGAGCUGAAGAGCAAACAAACAAGGUUCCUUGAGGAAAUUAAAAAUCAAGAUAAACUGAACAAAUCAUUAAAAGAGGAGGCCUUGCUGCAGAAACAGAGCUAUGAGGAGCUAGAAAGUGACCUAAACACAAAGAAUGAAUUGCUAAAACAGAAGACCGUGGAACUAACGCGAGCUUGUCAGAAACAGUAUGAGCUGGAACAGGAAUUGGCCUUUUAUAAAAUUGAUGCUAAAUUUGAGCCACUAACUUAUUAUCCAUCAGAGUAUGUUGAAAUUGACAAAGCCCCAGAUGAAAGCCCUUACAUUGGCAAAUCCAGAUACAAGAGAAAUAUGUUCACCACAGAGAGUCACAUUAUUGAUAACUCCCAGCCAGUACAGAUCAGGAAAAUGGAGCCAGAUGAAGGGGAACAACUUAGAAAUGAGCAAGUUAACUUGAAAACCCAAGUGCCACUGGACAUACAACUGGAAGACAAAGAAAAAAUAAGUGCAGCACAGACUCGACUAUCAGAACUGCAUGAUGAAAUAGAAAAGGCAGAACAACAAAUUUUAAGAGCUACCAAAGAAUAUAAACAACUGGAAGAAGCUAUACAACUAAAAAAAAUUUCAGAAGCAGAGAAAGACCUUCUUUUCAAGCAGUUGAGUAGUAGGAUACAACUUCUAAAUAAAUUACGCCAGGAAGCUCUGGAUCUAGAAAUGCAAAUGGAAAAGCAAAGACAAGAAAUUGCUGAAAAGCAGAAGAAGAUCAAGGAUCUACAAGUAGUCAUAGAUAGCCUGGAUUCCAAAGACUCAAAACAUUCCCAUAUGACAGCUCAGAAAAGGGGUAAAGAACAACAGCUUGACGUUAUGAACAAACAGUAUAAACAACUUGAAAGCCGUUUGGAUGAGAUACUUUCUAGGAUUGCUAAGGAAACGGAAGAGAUUAAGGACCUUGAGCAACAGCUUACUGAAGGGCAGAUAGCAGCAAAUGAAGCUCUGAAGAAGGAUUUAGAAGGUGUCAUCAGUGGUUUACAAGAAUACCUGGGGAGUAUCAAAGGCCAGGCAACUCAGGCCCAGAAUGAAUGCAAGAAGUUACAGGUCGAGAAAGAGGCAUUGCUGCAGAGAUUGACAGAAGUUGAGCAGGAAAGAAACCAACUGGAAAUAGUUGCCAUGGAUGCAGAAAAUAUGAGGAAGGAGCUUGCAGAGCUAGAAACUGCCCUCCAGGAGCAGCAUGAGAUAAAUGUAUCCCUGCAGCAGACCCAGGGAGAUCUCAGUGCCUAUGAGGCUGAGCUAGAGGCUCAGCUAAGAAUGAGGGAUGCUGAAGCCAGCCAGCUCAAGGAAGAGUUGGAAAGACUAACAAGACUUAGCCAGUUAGAACAAUCAGCCCUACAAGCAGAACUUGAGAAGAAAAGGCAAGCCCUUGAGAAUGCCCUCGGAAAAGACCAGUUGUCAGAAGAAGAGAAACAAGAAAACAGUGAGCUCUUCACGCAACUUAAACACCUGCAGGAUGACAAUAACCUGUUAAAAAAGCAGCUUAAAGAUUUCCAAAAUCACCUUAAUCAUGUGGUUAAUGGUUUGAUUCGUCCAGAGGAAGUGGCAGCUCGUGUGGAUGAGCUGAGGAGAAAGCUGAAGUCAGGAGCUGGUGAAAUGAGAAUCGACAGUCCUUCAGAUGUCUUAGGGAAAAGCCUUGCCAAUUUACAAAAACAAUUUAAUGAAAUUCUUGCACGUUCCCAAUGGGAAAGAGAGGAAGCACAAGUUAGAGAGAGACAACUCCAAGAAGAAAUGACUCUGCAACAAGAGAAACUGGCAAAUGGACAAGAAGAGUUCAGGCAGGCCUGUGAGAGAGCCCUUGAAGCAAGAAUUAAUUUUGAUAAGAGGCAACAUGAAGCAAGAAUCCAGGAAUUAGAGAAUGAAAUUCACUAUUUGCAAGAAAAUCUAAAAAGUAUGGAGGAAAUCCAAGGCCUUACAGAUCUCCAACUUCAGGAAGCUGAUGAAGAGAAGGAGAGAAUUCUGGCUCAACUCCAAGAGUUAGAGAAGAAGAAGAAACUUGAAGAUGCCAGAUCCCAGGAGCAGUUUCUUGGUUUAGAUAAACAAUUGAAGAAACUAAAAAAAGCUGUGGCUGCCUCUGAUAAGCUAGCCACAGCUGAGCUCACCAUUGCCAAAGACCAGCUUAAGUCCCUUCACGGAACUGUUAUGAAAAUUAACCAGGAGCGAGCAGAGGAAUUGCAGGAAACUGAGAGGUUCAGCAGAAAGGCAGCACGUGCGGCCAGGGAUCUGACCCGAGCAGAAGCAGAGAUCGAACUCCUACAGAAUCUUCUCAGGGACAAAGAGGAUCAGUUUCUAAUGGAGAUGGAGAAAGCAGAUGCAGGCACCUUAGUAGCAAACUCACAGGUGCUAGAAAUUGAUAAACUCAAUGAGACAAUGGAGAGACAAAGGACAGAGAUUGCAAGGCUAUGGAAUUUACUAGACCUCACUGGAGCUGAUAGCAAAGGAGGCUUUGAAAAUAUUUUGGAAGAAAUUGCUGAACUCCGUCGUGAAGUUUCUCAUCAGAAUGAUUAUAUCAGCAGCAUAGCAGAUCCUUUCAAAAGACGAGGCUAUUGGUACUUUAUGCCACCACCAUCAUCAAAAGUUUCUAGCCAUAGUUCUCAGGCCACCAAGGACUCUGGUGUUGGCCUAAAGUGCACAGCCUCAGCUCCUGUUAGAAAAGCACAUCCUGGGCAGCAAGAUGGGAAGGAAGGCAGUGGACCUCCACCUGCCUCAGGAUACUGGGUUUAUUCUCCCAUCAGAAGUGGGUUACAUAAAUCUCUUUCAAAUAGAGAUGAAGACAGUGGAGGAGAUAGCCAAGAAGAGAGUGACCUGGAUGACCGGGAGGAACCUCCAUUUGUGCCUCCGCCUGGAUACAUGAUAUAUACCGUCUUUCCUGAUGGUUCUCCAGUGCCUCAGGGCAUGGCCCUUUAUGCACCACCUCCUCCCUUGCUCAACAAUAGCCGACCUCUCACCCCUGGAACUGUUGUUUAUGGGCCGCCUCCUGCUGGGGCCCCCGUCGUGUGUGGACCUCCACCCCCCAACUUCUCAAUCCCCCUCAUCCCCAUAGGCGUGCUGCAUUGCAACGUCCCAGAACAUCAUAACUUAGAGAAUGAAGUUUCUAGAUUAGAAGAAAUAGUGCAGCAUUUAAAAUCAAAAAGACGGGAAGAACGGUGGAUGAGAAUAUCUAAGCGACAGUGUGAAAAAGAAAUAGAAGAACUGCAUCAUAAUAUUGAUAGUCUUUUGCAAGAGAAGAAGGACUUAGAGCAUGAAGUAGAAGAAUUACAUAGAACCAUCCAAAAACAUCAACAGCCAAAGGACUUCAUUGAUGGAAAUGUUGAGAGUCUUAUUACUGAACUAGAAAUAGAAAAAUCACUCAAACACCAUGAAGAUAUUGUAGAUGAAAUUGAGUGCAUUGAAAAGACCCUUCUGAAACGCCGUGCAGAGCUCAGGGAAGCUGACCGACUCCUGGCAGAGGCUGAGAGUGAACUUUCAUGCACAAAGGAGAAAACAAAAAAUGCUGUUGAGAAGUUCACUGAUGCCAAGAGAAAUUUAUUGCAAACUGAGUCAGAUGCUGAAGAAUUAGAAAGGAGAGCUCAGGAAACUGCUAUUAACCUUGUCAAAGCUGAUCAGCAGCUAAGAUUGCUCCAGGCUGAAGCAAAGGAUUUGGAGCAGCACAAAAUCGAGCAAGAAGAAAUCUUGAAAGAAAUAAAUAAAGUUAUAGCAGCAAAAGACUCUGACUUCCAGUGUUUAAAUAAGAAGAAGGAAACACUGACAGAAGAGCUUCAGAAACUGCAAAAAGACGUCGAGACCGCAGAAUGCAAUGAGGAUCACCACCUGCAGGUCCUUCAAGAGUCUGAGACCCUCCUUCAGGCCAAGAGAGCAGAGCUGGAAAAGCUGAAGAGCCAGGUGACAAGUCAACAACAGGAGAUGGCCAUCUUGGACAGGCACUUGGGACAUAAAAAGGAGGAGCUGCAUCUACUCCAAGGAAGCAUGGUCCAGGCCAAGGCUGACCUCCAGGAGGCUCUGAGACUGGGAGAGACUGAAGUAGCUGAGAAGUGCAGUCACAUUAGGGUUUGUUUUUCUGAAGUAAAAUCUCUUCUGGAAGAACUGAGUUUUCAGAAAGGAGAACUGAAUGUCCAGAUUAGUGAAAAAAAAUCUCAACUUGCACUUAUAAAGCAGGAAAUUGAGAAAGAGGAAGAAAAUCUUCAGGUAGUUUUAAGGCAAAUGUUUAAACAUAAAACUGAACUAAAGAAUAUUCUGGACAUGUUACAACUUGAAAACAAUGAGCUACAGGGCUUGAAGCUACAGCAUGACCAAAAGGUGUCUGAAUUAGAGAAGAUGCAGGUUGAAGUGUUAGAGGAGAAACUGGAGUUAGAGAAUUUGCAGCAGACAGCCCAGCGACAGAAAGGGGAAAUAGAAUGGCAGAAGCAGCUCCUUGAGAAGGACAAACGGGAAAUAGAGCGAAUGACUGCUGAGACCCGAGCAUUACAAGUGUGUAUGGCAUCUUUGAGCAAAGAAAAGGAAGAUCUUGAAGAGAAAUGUGACAGUUGGGAAAAGAAGUUGGCACAAACCAAAAGAGUUUUGGCAGCUACAGAAGAGAACAGCAAAAUGGAGCAGUCAAACUUAGAAAAGUUGGAAUUGAGUGUCAGAAAACUGCAGCAGGAACUAGACCAACUAAACAGAGACAAGCUCUCACUGCAUAAAGACAUUUUAGUAAUGCAGCAACAGCUACAAGAAAAACGAGAAGAAGUAAACACACUACAGGAAGAAUUAGCUCAUGUCCAAGACCACUUGAAUUUAGCAGAACAGGAUCUGCUUCACACCGCCAAGCAUCGAGACAUACAACUUAGUGAGCAGACCAGGCUCCAGAAGGACAUCAGUGAACAGAAAAAGAAGUUUGAAGACUGUCAGAAAGAAGGAGAAACAAAACAGAAGCAACUUCAGGUGCUUCAGAACGAGAUUGAAGAAAACAGGCUCAAGCUAGUACAACAAGAAAUGAUGUUUCAAAAACUCCAGAAAGAGAGAGAAAGUGAAGAAGAAAAAUUAGAAGCCAGUAAAAUGACACUGAAGGAGCAGCAGCAGCAGCUGGAAAAGGAAUUAACUGACCAGAAAAGUGAACUGGAACAGGUGCUUACAAAGGUGUCGGUGGCUGAAGAGCAUGUCAAGACUCUGCAGGAAGAGAAGAGGUGGAAUGAAACCCUGGAGAAGACACUUUCCCAAACCAAACAACAGCUUUCAGAACGGGAGCAGGAAUUAAUGGAAAAGUCAAGUGAGCUUCUGGCUCUCCAGAAAGAGAUGGACUCCAUGAGGGCUGACUUCAGCCUCCUGCGGAACCAGUUCUUGACAGAAAGAAAGAAAGCAGAGAAGCAGAUUGCCACCCUAAAGGAAGCCCUUAAGACACAGCGGAGCCAGCUGGAGAAGAACCUUCUUGAGCAAAAACAGGAGAAUAGCUGCAUGCAGAAGGAAAUGGCAACAAUUGAGCAGGUGGCCCAGGACAACCAUGAGCGGGCUAGGCGCCUGAUGAAGGAGCUCAUCCAGAUGCAGCAUGAAUACAUGGAGCUCCAGAAACAGAUGGCAAACCAAAAAGAUUUGGAGAGAAGACAAAUGGAAAUCAGUGAAGCAAUGAGGACACUUAAAUCUGAGGUGAAAGAUGAAAUCAGAACCAGCCUUAAGAAUCUCAAUCAGUGUCUUCCAGAACUACCGGCAGAACUGGAAGGUAUUUUUGAAAGAAAUGAGAACUUAGAAGGAGAGUUGGAAAGCUUGAAAGAGAAUUUUCCAUUCACUAUGAAUGAAAGACCAUCGCCUUUUGAAGAAAAACUGAACUUUUCCCAAGUUCACAUAAUGGAUGAACAAUGGCGAGGAGAAGCACUCCGAGAGAAACUGCGUCACCAUGAAGAUCGACUCAAGGCUCAACUUCGACAUUGUAUGUCCAAACAAGCAGAAGUAUUUAUUAAAGGAAAGCAACAGACAGAAGGCACUUUACACAGUUUGAGAAGACAAGUUGAUGCUUUAGGGGAAUUGGUCACCAGCACCUCUAUAGAUUCAACUUCCUUGUCACCCAGUCUGUCUCAGCUGGAGUCUUCCCUUGCUGAUGACUUUCAGCAUGGACAAAGCCAGAGCUCCUUCCACCAAGUUCUGCCAAGUCCGUCAGAAUCAGACAUUUGCCUACACUGAUGCCAUUCCAGCCUCCUGUUCACAGGGUGUGUGCUGCAGAGAUCCUUUAACUAGUACUUUGAAUUGGAAGUUCUUUAAUGAAAAGAAUGGCUUAGCCAUAUGCGGAAUACAAUCUUGCAUAAAUAUGAGGAAAUACCUUCUCUACUACCUCACUAACUUCAUAGUUGGAAUAGCACUUGGAUUUUAGCAAGAUCCAGUGAAUUCAGAUGCUGAACUCCACUGUAGUUUUUCUUGUACCAUUAAUGCCAAGGUUUUUGUAAAUCACUUGUACAUAUGGGAAUAGUUGUAUAAAACUUAAACCGGGGUCCCAGGUGGUUGAGGUUUUAUAUUUGGAAUGUGUUUUUAUAAACCAGUGCUGAUUUUUUAACUGCACGUUUGAAUUUAUAAACUGGUAAUUAUUUAGAAACAAAGAAGAAAAUGUACUUAAUUUAAGCCUUUCAUUUAUAUAGUGUCGAGUUAUUUUUGGAUUUUGCUUAAAAUCUAUUUUCAUAUGAAAAUAAAAGAUACAACAGACUUGGGUCUAUCAUCUGACUUUGUAUUUCACAGAUCAAUCUAUUUUAAAGCUUUCUAAACUUUUACCUUAACUCCAUGAGAAUGACAAUCUUUCAAAUGGUCUUCUGUCUUCUGCUUGGAGGUUGAUGUGUUUUACUUAUUUCUAAACAUAUUUCAUUUGGAAAUACUAUAAUAAAACUUAUCACACUGCAGGUGCUUUUCUUCAGCCAGAACUUUAUACUUUGGAGAAUCCGAGUGGUAAAUUCGAAUUAUGUAGACUUCAUUUAAUUUUUAAACUACAGUAAUUAAAAGCUUAACUCUAUAAUCUACAUUAUUUCUUUAAAAAUAAGGAUUACAACUACUGUCACAGUUAUGUGGAACAGAAUUAUUUCCAAGGGUAAAGUGAAGUAUGAGACCACAUGUAAUAGAUUAUUAGGUUUUAAGAUAGUUCCAAGAACUCCUUUUUAGGCCACUCGGCAGCUUGUAGAGCCCUAGCAGAUUAUUAUAUUGUGUCUCUACAAUACAGAAGCGCACAGAAUAAUCUGUCACCACCUGCUGAGGUGUACAGUCCUAAAAAGUUAUGUUUGGCUAGAACUGGACCAUCAAGAUAAUGGGAUAAGUUCUAAUUACAAUAAAGAUAAUGAAAAUGGCAUAAAAUUUAUUAACACUCAGUAAUUUCUAGAAGGCAUCUACUUCCAAAAGAAAAUUUUACAUUGUUAGUGUCUUUUGUAUUCACAUUUUCCUUUGUUUCAUUUUCUGAAGUUUUAGCAAAAUGCUCAAAAAGCCUGCCUUAUUCACAGGUAUUGAAAUAUUUUAGGGCACAUUUUUUGGGCCUGGCUGUCUCCGUGCUGGAUAGGGGUAAAACAUCUCUCUAUACUGCCACAUGAACAGGAAUAGAAGGCAAUCAUUUGGUCUUUUCUUUUACUUAGGGGACUGAAUUGAACCACGCAUUAAAAAAAAAAAAUCACACUUUAAAACAGUGGGCAUAUGGGCAAAGGUUCUCAAAACUAUGGUCUGGUGGAAUUAGAGGUGAGGUAAUGUGUGAAGCUGAAUACCUAGUUUCAAAAGACACCUUUCCAAAGAAUUUUACUACUGCUAACUAUAGUAGUAUGUGAACAACAGCAAUCCAAAAAAAAAAAAAAAAUCAAGGAUAGUG
Trichechus manatus latirostris (Florida manatee) is the source of this 8865-nucleotide RNA transcript. It is a transcript of the gene named centriolin, with no coding region annotated. The record is from RefSeq and is a predicted model, not a curated record. The transcript has 44 exons. NCBI's taxonomy places the organism in Eukaryota, Metazoa, Chordata, Mammalia, Sirenia, Trichechidae.